Molecule: ribosomal RNA, 253 nt
Filed under: uncultured bacterium
Lineage: Bacteria
Description: partial 16S ribosomal RNA
Rfam family: Bacterial small subunit ribosomal RNA
Source: RNAcentral
UACGUAGGGUGCGAGCGUUAAUCGGAAUUACUGGGCGUAAAGAGUGCGUAGGCGGUUCUUGAAGUCCGCUGUGAAAGCCCCGGGCUUAACCUGGGAAUAGCAGUGGAAACUGGAGGACUUGAAUUGAGCAGAGGGGGGUGGAAUGCCGCGUGUAGCAGUGAAAUGCGUAGAGAUGCGGCGGAACACCGAUGGCGAAGGCAGCCCCCUGGGCUUAAAUUGGCGCUGAGGCACGAAAGCGUGGGGAGCAAACAGG